CGUGUCUUCCAGAAGUGACUUUGC
Molecule: non-coding RNA, 24 nt
Filed under: Cricetulus griseus (Chinese hamster)
Lineage: Eukaryota; Metazoa; Chordata; Mammalia; Rodentia; Cricetidae
Source: RNAcentral